Molecule: non-coding RNA, 540 nt
Organism: Meleagris gallopavo (turkey)
Lineage: Eukaryota; Metazoa; Chordata; Aves; Galliformes; Phasianidae
Source: RefSeq, a predicted model, not a curated record
AGUUCUUCCACUUUAAUUUUGAGGUGUCUGAGUUCCUGUAGCAAACCCUGCAAAGGAAAAACAGGAUAAUGGAACACAGAAAACCCUGAGAGGUCAGAAAGCAAGAAGCAGCAAGCUGAAGCCCCUCCUUCAAUCUAAUGCAGUUUCCAGAGAAAGAAAACAAGCCUGACAGAGGGAGUCAGCUUCCUGAUCUCAGCUGAGGUUUAGAGGCCCAACUGUACAAGAGACCAUGGAAAUAAACAUAGCACUAAUUUACGCAAAGCAAGGAGUACUUACCAAUCAAAUGCCAAAACACACUUUCAAACUAUGGAAUACUGAACUACCUAUAAGCUUAGCAUCUUUAGUAGUUAAGCUGCGAUAACCUUCGUCUCUGAUAUUUUUGAAAAUAUUUUAAUCAAAUAUAUACAUCAACAAACAGAACCGAAAGGUAUCUGAAGAAAUCAUGUGAUUUGUUAUUCUGCCUUGGAACAGAUGAUUAAUUACAAUUCUUGUUUUGUCUGCUUCUAAAAUCUCUAGAAAUGAAAAACAGGUACCAGUCUC